CCUACGGGCGGCUGCAGUGGGGAAUAUUGCACAAUGGGCGCAAGCCUGAUGCAGCCAUGCCGCGUGUGUGAAGAAGGCCUUCGGGUUGUAAAGCACUUUCAGCGGGGAGGAAGGCGUUAAGGUUAAUAACCUUGGCGAUUGACGUUACCCGCAGAAGAAGCACCGGCUAACUCCGUGCCAGCAGCCGCGGUAAUACGGAGGGUGCAAGCGUUAAUCGGAAUUACUGGGCGUAAAGCGCACGCAGGCGGUCUGUCAAGUCGGAUGUGAAAUCCCCGGGCUCAACCUGGGAACUGCAUUCGAAACUGGCAGGCUAGAGUCUUGUAGAGGGGGGUAGAAUUCCAGGUGUAGCGGUGAAAUGCGUAGAGAUCUGGAGGAAUACCGGUGGCGGAGGCGGCCCCCUGGACAAAGACUGACGCUCAGGUGCGAAAGCGUGGGGAGCAAACAGGAUUAGAUACCCUAGUAGUC
This 465-nucleotide ribosomal RNA is filed under the name uncultured Klebsiella sp. Its description in RNAcentral is "bacterial SSU rRNA". It matches the Rfam family "Bacterial small subunit ribosomal RNA", at positions 338 to 795 of the family's 1533-position model. Lineage: Bacteria; Pseudomonadati; Pseudomonadota; Gammaproteobacteria; Enterobacterales; Enterobacteriaceae. The record is from RNAcentral.